This is a non-coding RNA of Ceratotherium simum simum (southern white rhinoceros), 97 nucleotides long. The record is from RefSeq and is a predicted model, not a curated record. NCBI's taxonomy places the organism in Eukaryota, Metazoa, Chordata, Mammalia, Perissodactyla, Rhinocerotidae.
GCACUGCUUGUCACGCCAUGCUGUGGUGGCCAUCCCACAUAUAGGGUAGAGGAGGAUGGAUACAGAUGUCAUCUCAGGGCCAAUUUUCCUCAGCAAA